This 821-nucleotide long non-coding RNA is filed under the name Monodelphis domestica (gray short-tailed opossum). Its description in RNAcentral is "lncRNA (ENSMODG00000042140.1)". Lineage: Eukaryota; Metazoa; Chordata; Mammalia; Didelphimorphia; Didelphidae. The record is from RNAcentral.
GAUAGACUAUCUGAGCUCUCUGGGCUAAGCAAGGUCCAGAGGCAGCUUUUCCUUAGCUCUCUGGCAAAUUCCCUUUUAAAUCUUUGGCAAUCCUAAAUUGGCAGUUUGGGAAGAGAGAGGUGACUGGCAGUGGCUGAAGUGAAAAGACUGGCAGAGAGAAGAAAAGAUCUUUUUCCCUGAUCUCUGUGAGAAAGCAGAGAGAGGACAGGCUUUGGCCUAUCCAGGCAGGAUAGGUUUGUUAAUCAAGAGAGGAGCAUGAAGACACUGAGCUCUGGAGGGAAAUUGGAGGAAGCACUUGUCUCAGUGUCUCGGUGAAAUCACCACAAUAUCAUCUCCAAACAGGAGCAUCUGGAGAACCUCACCCAUAUAUAAAGAAUUUCUCUUCCAUAUGGACUCCUGAAUGAUUUUUCUCUAUGAAAAUGGCAAAUGCCUUGGGUGAGCAUAUGUCUCUCUGAUUUAUGCUUUACUUUAUAUUAAUAAUCAGAGAGUCAUUGAGCUAAGCUAUUUCAGUUAUUAUUUCUCUCAAGAAAUUUUAUAUGAUUUUGAAAUAUGCAUUAGAGACACAUUGUUGUAAGAGGGUCUAAAAGUGCUAUUCUGUUCUACAAAAUAUAAAGCUUUUUAAUAUAAUUAAACAAUAAGCACAGUGGCAUCUGUAUUCUCCACAACUUUUCAUCAACUGUGUGGAUAUGGAUAGUUAUAAAAUAUAAUUUAAAAAAAAUUCUUGUUGAUAUAUUCUCAUAUGUUUAUGUAGGGGACCUUAAAUGGUGUGUAUAGCUUAGACUCAUAAGGAAAUAAACAGAUAAAUGUAAUUAUGGAAAACA